Molecule: ribosomal RNA, 447 nt
Filed under: uncultured bacterium
Lineage: Bacteria
Description: bacterial SSU rRNA
Rfam family: Bacterial small subunit ribosomal RNA
Source: RNAcentral
UGCCAGACUCCUACGGGAGGCAGCAGUGGGGGAUAUUGCACAAUGGGGGAAACCCUGAUGCAGCGACGCCGCGUGAGUGAAGAAGUAAUUCGUUACGUAAAGCUCUAUCAGCAGGGAAGAAAAUGACGGUACCUGACUAAGAAGCCCCGGCUAACUACGUGCCAGCAGCCGCGGUAAUACGUAGGGGGCAAGCGUUAUCCGGAUUUACUGGGUGUAAAGGGAGCGUAGGUGGCAUGGUAAGCCAGAAGUGAAAACCCGGGGCUCAACCCCGCGGAUUGCUUUUGGAACUAUCAGGCUGGAGUGCUGGAGGGGUAAGCGGAAUUCCUAGUGUAGCGGUGAAAUGCGUAGAUAUUAGGAGGAACACCGGUGGCGAAGGCGGCUUACUGGACAGAAACUGACACUGAGGCUCGAAAGCGUGGGGAGCAAACAGGAUUAGAUACCCCCGUA